Molecule: long non-coding RNA, 224 nt
Organism: Asparagus officinalis (garden asparagus)
Lineage: Eukaryota; Viridiplantae; Streptophyta; Magnoliopsida; Asparagales; Asparagaceae
Exons: 3
Source: RefSeq, a predicted model, not a curated record
CUCAGAUCGAUGGCCCGCUGCCCGAGGAUAUGUUUCCUGAGCCCGUACUCCCUCAGGAUCCCGAGAAUGGUUCUUUUGAAAGAGCUUUUGCCGAGGCUGAUCCUGCUGAGCCGGCUGUGAGACCAACUCCACCAGUUGACAUACCCACAGCCGUUACGUCUCCGCUACCCCCAGCGACUCAAGGGGAAGGAGGGCUUUCCUCUCAGCUUCAUGUCCUCGUAAAG